This 277-nucleotide ribosomal RNA is filed under the name uncultured eukaryote. RNAcentral's name for it is "partial 18S ribosomal RNA". It matches the Rfam family "Eukaryotic small subunit ribosomal RNA", at positions 25 to 299 of the family's 1831-position model. The record is from RNAcentral.
UAGCAUAUGCUUGUCUUAAAGACUAAGCCAUGCAUGUCUAAGUAUAAAUCUUUAUACGGUGAAACUGCGAAUGGCUCAUUAAAUCAGUUAUAGUUUAUUUGAUAAUCCCUACUACUUGGAUAACUGUAGUAAUUCUAGAGCUAAUACAUGCUAAAACACCCGACUUCGGAAAGGUGGCAUUUAUUAGAUAAAAAACCAAUGCGGGGUUUUCCCCGGACCAUUGAUGAUUCAUAAUAACUGAGCGAAUCGCAUGGCCUAGCGCCGGCGAUGAUUCAUU